GAUGAACGCUAGCUACAGGCUUAACACAUGCAAGUCGAGGGGUAACGAGAGGAAGGCUUGCUUUCCUUGUCGACGACCGGCGCACGGGUGAGUAACGCGUAUCCAACCUGCCCCCAACUAGGGAAUAACCUUGCGAAAGUAAGACUAAUACCCUAUAAUUUCCUCAGAUGACAUCUGACGAGGAAUAAAGAUUUAUCGGUUGUGGAUGGGGAUGCGUCUGAUUAGCUUGUUGGCGGGGUAACGGCCCACCAAGGCAACGAUCAGUAGGGGUUUUGAGGGGCAGGUCCCCCACAUUGGAACUGAGACGCGGUCCAAACUCCUACGGGAGGCAGCAGUGAGGAAUAUUGGUCAAUGGGCGGAAGCCUGAACCAGCCAAGUAGCGUGCAGGAUGACGGCCCUAUGGGUUGUAAACUGCUUUUAUACAGGAAUAAAGUUAGCCACGUGUGGUUAUUUGUAGGUACUGUAUGAAUAAGGACCGGCUAAUUCCGUGCCAGCCGCCGCGGUAA
Molecule: ribosomal RNA, 506 nt
Filed under: uncultured bacterium
Lineage: Bacteria
Description: partial 16S ribosomal RNA
Rfam family: Bacterial small subunit ribosomal RNA
Source: RNAcentral